Molecule: ribosomal RNA, 169 nt
Filed under: uncultured bacterium
Lineage: Bacteria
Description: partial 16S ribosomal RNA
Rfam family: Bacterial small subunit ribosomal RNA
Source: RNAcentral
GCUGGAUUCGCUAGUAAUCGCGCAUCAGCCACGGCGCGGUGAAUACGUUCCCGGGCCCUUGUACACACCGCCCGUCAAGCCAUGGAAGCCGGGGGUGCCUGAAGUGCGCUGCCGCAAGGAGCGCCCUAGGGUAAAACCGGUGACUGGGGCUAAGUCGUAACAAGGUAGC